Molecule: long non-coding RNA, 1615 nt
Organism: Onychostoma macrolepis
Lineage: Eukaryota; Metazoa; Chordata; Actinopteri; Cypriniformes; Cyprinidae
Exons: 7
Source: RefSeq, a predicted model, not a curated record
UGCUUCAGUUUUUGACGCCUUGGGAGUGAGAAUGGGUUGGUUUAUUCCUGCAUUUAUUCAUGUCCAAAUCCUCGUGUUUUUGAGAAUGGAGAGGUGAUUCCAAAUAAAGCCAAGUACUAUGCAAAUGACACAACCACGUACUCAUGUCAUUCUGAUUAUACGUUCCGUGGCUCAGCGGUCCACGUUUGCAAGCCUAAUGGGAAAUGGAGUGGAAGCACACCAAUUUGUGGACGUGACUCACGUUCCGUGGCACCUGAACUUCACGCGCCUGCCACAACAUCUCCCACUGUUUACAGCCAUCAGACACCUUGGCUGUGGCAUGUUCUGUGACAGCUGCGCCUAGAUCUGACUGGUGAACUGUCGUCUGGGGCAGGCACAGUGAAAUCAAUGAUUACACACACACCACCAUUAAAAUGCUUCUAGAAAAGAAACCUCAGAAAUAUGAACAGAAACCUCCAAUAUGAGCAUUGGUGUGUUUCAGGAGGGUCUCCCACAAUCCACUGCAUACUUGCUGCAUCUCAGUGAAAAUCCUGUGUCACAUUAUGGAAACGUUAACUGCGCCGAAAUGUGCAGUGUUGCGUCCAUCUUUGAAUUCUAAAUGCUCUUUCCCAAAAGAUGAGUUAUUACCCAGUCUCCCCAAACUAUGAGAUCCUGAUGUUUGCUACAGAUGUUAAUCGGAUAAUCUCUAUGAAGGACUUCAAAAGAAAUGAACGAAAUGCAGGAAACCUAACAAAUAUUUUUAAAGAGCUGGACAAAUUUACUCAUGAGAGUCAGGCAAACAUGGAGGUAAAUCCUGAAUGUAAAGUGGACCAGAUCAAACGUCUUGUCACUAAAAAUGAUCCAAAGCGGGAGAAGAAACUUGCUGAACUUUUAAGUGAAAUUGCUUGGACUAUCUUUUUGUAUUUGGAGUUGGAGAUGACGUGUAUCAAGAAAUCGCAGAGGGACCAAGAAAUAGCAUUAACACUAUUGUUUGGAUGAAUCAGUUUCACAAUGAGAACACCAGUGUAGUGUAGCCAAUGUUGGAUCAUGUCUCAGGCAUCACCACUUCUGCUAACUUCACUGAUGCUAGCCAGGAUGGUCUCCAGAUUUCUCUCCGAGCUUCAAAGAGAUUCCAAGAGGGAAGGGACGUAGUACCCCCCCAUCACCAGGCAUUGGCCAGUCCACCAAGAAGGAGUGUGACCGGAAGACGGUUAAAAGACCCUAACCCAAACCAAUCAUUGCUCAAACCCUUUGACGCAGACACUCUCCAAGACUCAUUCCUCUGGAGUCUGACCUUUCGGCAGUUUUACCUUAAAGCAACUUUGUCGAUUUGCUGUGGACUCUCCGAUCUUCAGAAGACCCUGACAAAAAGCUUCCAGCUCACUCCUAACAUACUCAUCAAGUAUCUCCGUUGUCUACCACAUCCGGACUCUUAUUUAGCAAUAAAGCCAAUGCAAGCAGCUGUUUUCCAACUAUUUAGAUGCAUGUAUCAGUUUGGGCCCCUUUAUUAAGGUGAUUUUGAUUCUCUGAUGAUUCUCAUUAGGUUGUGGUUAACUGAUGUUAAAUACUGCAAUUUUUUUGUUCUUCUCUUUCUCUUUCCUUACUCUCCUUCAUUCUGUAUUUAUGUGUUUUGCUU